GCCUCUGCUGCUGACACCCUCACCAAUGGCUUCUUUGUGGCUGUCCUGGAGCGGUGCGGGGCCGGGGCUGCUGCCUGCAGCUCCCUGCCUGCGGCUGCUGCUGAUGCCCUGCAACAGGGCAAGGGAACAGAGCCAGGAGCAGCUCCCAAGAAGAGCAAGAGGAAAAAGCAGCGGGUAAAGGAGUGAAACAACCGGUUUAGGACUGCGCGGUGCCCAGCCGGGGCUGGUGGGGAUUGUCACCCUGCUGCCUGCCUGAGCUGUGGCACAGCCUCCCAUCAUGGGGAAACGCAGCUGGGUUAAGGGUGUCUUUUCCCAUGUUUGGUCCCAGAAACCUUACCCUGAUGUGGGGUUUCAGAGAAGCUUGGGACUGUAGGGACGAUCCAGAGCUGAGUUUCUCUCUCUCCCUGGUCUUUCCCAGCACGUUUGUGCAGCCUUGCCUGGAAACUGCCACUGCUUGAAGCAGAGGCAAAGUGGAGGAAAACAAUGCCAUGAAAAUAACUAGUAAUAACAGUAGGAACAAGU
Long non-coding RNA from Melopsittacus undulatus (budgerigar), 522 nucleotides. RefSeq lists it as uncharacterized. Lineage: Eukaryota; Metazoa; Chordata; Aves; Psittaciformes; Psittaculidae. The transcript is spliced from 2 exons. The record is from RefSeq and is a predicted model, not a curated record.